Molecule: ribosomal RNA, 447 nt
Filed under: uncultured bacterium
Lineage: Bacteria
Description: partial 16S ribosomal RNA
Rfam family: Bacterial small subunit ribosomal RNA
Source: RNAcentral
AGCGAACGCUGGCGGCAGGCUUAACACAUGCAAGUCGAGCGCCCCGCAAGGGGAGCGGCAGACGGGUGAGUAACACGUGGGAACGUACCCUUUGGUUCGGAACAACCCAGGGAAACUUGGGCUAAUACCGGAUACGUCCGUAAGGAGAAAGAUUUAUCGCCAAAGGAUCGGCCCGCGUCUGAUUAGCUAGUUGGUGAGGUAAUGGCUCACCAAGGCUACGAUCAGUAGCUGGUCUGAGAGGAUGAUCAGCCACAUUGGGACUGAGACACGGCCCAAACUCCUACGGGAGGCAGCAGUGGGGAAUAUUGGACAAUGGGGGCAACCCUGAUCCAGCCAUGCCGCGUGAGUGAUGAAGGCCCUAGGGUUGUAAAGCUCUUUUAGCAGGGAAGAUAAUGACGGUACCUGCAGAAAAAGCCCCGGCUAACUUCGUGCCAGCCGCCGCAGUAA